This 63-nucleotide transfer RNA is filed under the name Adiantum capillus-veneris. Its description in RNAcentral is "tRNA-Asn". It matches the Rfam family "tRNA", at positions 11 to 71 of the family's 71-position model. Rfam says of the family: Transfer RNA (tRNA) molecules are approximately 80 nucleotides in length. Their secondary structure includes four short double-helical elements and three loops (D, anti-codon, and T loops). RNAcentral also lists the same sequence under 1 other name. The record is from RNAcentral. Lineage: Eukaryota; Viridiplantae; Streptophyta; Polypodiopsida; Polypodiales; Pteridaceae.
CUCAGCGGUAGAGCGGUCGGCUGUUAACCGAUUGGUCGUAGGUUCGAAUCCUAUCCGGGGAGA